AUAUUACUCCCUCCGUCCCAAAAUAACUGUCUCAAGCUUAUUAUAAAUUUGUACUAGAGCUAGUACAAAGUUGAGACACUUAUUUUGGGACGGAGGGAGUAUUAU
RNAcentral lists this microRNA precursor (105 nucleotides) under Hordeum vulgare. RNAcentral's name for it is "microRNA MIR1122". It matches the Rfam family "MIR1120/MIR1122 microRNA precursor family". Lineage: Eukaryota; Viridiplantae; Streptophyta; Magnoliopsida; Poales; Poaceae. The record is from RNAcentral.